AGUGAACGCUGGCGGUAGGCCUAACACAUGCAAGUCGAACGGCAGCACAGUAAGAGCUUGCUCUUACGGGUGGCGAGUGGCGGACGGGUGAGGAAUACAUCGGAAUCUACUUUUUCGUGGGGGAUAACGUAGGGAAACUUACGCUAAUACCGCAUACGACCUACGGGUGAAAGCAGGGGAUCUUCGGACCUUGCGCGAUUGAAUGAGCCGAUGUAGGAUUAGCGAGUUGGCGGGGUAAAGGCCCACCAAGGCGACGAUCCGUAGCUGGUCUGAGAGGAUGAUCAGCCACACUGGAACUGAGACACGGUCCAGACUCCUACGGGAGGCAGCAGUGGGGAAUAUUGGACAAUGGGCGCAAGCCUGAUCCAGCCAUACCGCGUGGGUGAAGAAGGCCUUCGGGUUGUAAAGCCCUUUUGUUGGGAAAGAAAAGCAGCAGGUUAAUACCCCGCUGUUCUGACGGUACCCAAAGAAUAAGCACCGGCUAACUUCGUG
RNAcentral lists this ribosomal RNA (492 nucleotides) under uncultured bacterium. Its description in RNAcentral is "partial 16S ribosomal RNA". It matches the Rfam family "Bacterial small subunit ribosomal RNA", at positions 29 to 507 of the family's 1533-position model. The record is from RNAcentral.